RNAcentral lists this ribosomal RNA (1039 nucleotides) under Halomonas sp. C2SS100. RNAcentral's name for it is "bacterial SSU rRNA". It matches the Rfam family "Bacterial small subunit ribosomal RNA", at positions 52 to 1083 of the family's 1533-position model. Lineage: Bacteria; Pseudomonadati; Pseudomonadota; Gammaproteobacteria; Oceanospirillales; Halomonadaceae. The record is from RNAcentral.
CACAUGCAAGUCCAGCGGCAGCGGGAGGUGCUUGCACCUCGCCGGCGAGCGGCGGACGGGUGAGUAAUGCAUAGGAAUCUGCCCGGUAGUGGGGGAUAACCUGGGGAAACCCAGGCUAAUACCGCAUACGUCCUACGGGAGAAAGCAGGGGAUCUUCGGACCUUGCGCUAUCGGAUGAGCCUAUGCCGGAUUAGCUGGUUGGUAGGGUAAUGGCCUACCAAGGCGACGAUCCGUAGCUGGUCUGAGAGGAUGAUCAGCCACACUGGGACUGAGACCCGGCCCAGACUCCUACGGGAGGCAGCAGUGGGGAAUCUUGGACAAUGGGCGAAAGCCUGAUCCAGCCAUGCCGCGUGUGUGAAGAAGGCUUUCGGGUUGUAAAGCACUUUCAGUGGGGAAGAAAGCCUGUCGGUUAUUACCCGACAGGAACGACAUCACCCACAGAAGAAGCACCGGCUAACUCUCGUGCCAGCAGCCGCGGUAAUACGGAGGGUGCGAGCGUUAAUCGGAAUUACUGGGCGUAAAGCGCGCGUAGGCGGUGUGAUAAGCCGGUUGUGAAAGCCCCGGGCUCAACCUGGGAACUGCAUCCGGAACUGUCGCGCUAGAGUGCAGGAGAGGAAGGUAGAAUUCCCGGUGUAGCGGUGAAAUGCGUAGAGAUCGGGAGGAAUACCAGUGGCGAAGGCGGCCUUCUGGACUGACACUGACGCUGAGGUGCGAAAGCGUGGGUAGCAAACAGGAUUAGAUACCCUGGUAGUCCACGCCGUAAACGAUGUCGACUAGCCGUUGGGAGCCUUGAGUUCUUAGUGGCGCAGUUAACGCGAUAAGUCGACCGCCUGGGGAGUACGGCCGCAAGGUUAAAACUCAAAUGAAUUGACGGGGGCCCGCACAAGCGGUGGAGCAUGUGGUUUAAUUCGAUGCAACGCGAAGAACCUUACCUACCCUUGACAUCCUCGGAAUCCGCCAGAGAUGGUGGAGUGCGUUCGGGAGCCGAGUGACAGGUGCUGCAUGGGGGUCGUCAGCUCGUGUUGUGAAAUGUUGUUAG